RNAcentral lists this ribosomal RNA (464 nucleotides) under Sinohyriopsis cumingii x Sinohyriopsis schlegelii. Its description in RNAcentral is "Hyriopsis cumingii x Hyriopsis schlegelii partial 16S ribosomal RNA". It matches the Rfam family "Bacterial large subunit ribosomal RNA", at positions 1853 to 2603 of the family's 2925-position model. The record is from RNAcentral. Lineage: Eukaryota; Metazoa; Mollusca; Bivalvia; Unionida; Unionidae.
AUAUGCCUGCCCAGUGAAAACUUUAAACGGCCGCGUUAGCGUGAGCGUGCUAAGGUAGCGUAAUAAAUAGCCUCUCAAUUGGAGGCCAGUGAAUGGCAAGACUAGGAACACCUGUACCUUAUACACCAAAAAAAUUUUUCGUCUAAGUGAAAAGACUUAGAUAAUAAAGGAAGACGAAAAGACCCCGCGGAACUUUACCUUCUCCCGCUCUUCCGCCCAGAAGCACAAAAGACCAAAGGUUUGAUUGGGGCAAUCUCGGAACCACCAAGCUUCCGAUUUUUAACAAAAACGAUUCAAAAUUUGAUAAAGACCAAAAAGAAGUUACCCCGGGGAUAACAGCGUAAUCCAACUUAAGAGUACACAUCGAAAGUUGGGUUUGCGACCUCGAUGUUGGCUUAAGGUUAUCCACACUAGUGCAACCGCUAUGACAGGACAGUCUGUUCGACUAUCAUACCCUUACAUGA